RNAcentral lists this ribosomal RNA (386 nucleotides) under uncultured bacterium. Its description in RNAcentral is "bacterial SSU rRNA". It matches the Rfam family "Bacterial small subunit ribosomal RNA", at positions 30 to 412 of the family's 1533-position model. The record is from RNAcentral.
AUUGAACGCUGGCGGCAGGCUUAACACAUGCAAGUCGAGCGGUAGCAUUUCUAGCUUGCUAGAAGAUGACGAGCGGCGGACGGGUGAGUAACGCGUAGGAAUCUGCCGAGUAGUGGGGGAUAGCCCAGAGAAAUUUGGAUUAAUACCGCAUACGCCCUACGGGGAAAGGAGGGGAGUCUUCGGACCUUCCGCUAUUCGAUGAGCCUGCGUGAGAUUAGCUUGUUGGUGAGGUAAAGGCUCACCAAGGCGACGAUCUCUAGCUGGUCUGAGAGGAUGAUCAGCCACACUGGGACUGAGACACGGCCCAGACUCCUACGGGAGGCAGCAGUGGGGAAUAUUGCACAAUGGGGGAAACCCUGAUGCAGCCAUGCCGCGUGUGUGAAGAA